Archocentrus centrarchus (flier cichlid) is the source of this 655-nucleotide non-coding RNA. NCBI's taxonomy places the organism in Eukaryota, Metazoa, Chordata, Actinopteri, Cichliformes, Cichlidae. The record is from the annotation of a RefSeq genome assembly.
GAGAGUCUCGAGAUGAAGGGGACCACUCCCCCCGCCCUGUGCCUAGUUUAAGUUCUUCUGUCACUGAGAGUCUGAACUCUUCAUUCACUCACACUGAAAACUGCAUCAGGAUGAUGUUUCUAACAACUCUGAUUGUCAUGUUUGGGUUUCUGAUUCAGGAGUCAUUUGCCAACAAUUUUCUGACUCAGACUGAUAAAACCAAGUCUGUCAGUCUUGGAGGGACUGUGACCAUCAGCGCCACGGGGAGUUCAAAUAUUGGUGCUGAUCUCAGUUGGUACCUUCAGAAACCUGGACAACCUCCCAAACUUCUUAUAUACAGCACAUCAACUCGCUUCUCAGGAACUCCGUCUCGAUUCAGUGGCAGUAGAUCUGGUUCUCAGUACACUUUAACCAUCAGUAGUGUUCAGGCUGAAGAUGCUGGAGAUUAUUACUGUCUGGGAGCCCAUGGUGGAGCGUUCACACAGUGAUUUAUAGCUGUACAAAAACCUCCUUCAGUCUGGCUGAAGGCUGCAGGUGCAGAGUGUUGGAGGAGAGACUGUGAUGAGAGUCAUCAAGCACAAACACAAUGAAUCUAAAUAAAACAAGAAACUAAUAGCUUUACACAAACAGAUUUAACUUAAAUAAAUACCAUUGAAUGUUAUUUUAUUCAGUCCAG